GCCUGUUCUCAUCUGCACAGGAUCUGUGAGAGCUUGGACAAGCCCGGGGCUGGAGGCUGGAGGGAGCAGGAGGAAACCUUCAGUGCUGGGCAGAAGGAAGCCUGUGGGGAGAGGCAGAACCAGCUUUGCAUGGGAACAACUCAUCCAAGGAGAGGAUCCAAAGGAGCAGGGAAUGCUGGUUUUAAUCUGCUUCCAUGGGCUGAAAUGACUCCUGUGUUCAAGCUGGCAUUACCGACAGGGAUACAACUGCAGUUUGGGUAUCAGCUCUCUGGGACCUGCAACCUGCCUGGCAAGGAAACAUCAUCAGCCCUCUUAUCUGCUCCUUGCCUGAAUUCUGCCUGGAUUUCUGACUGGUGAGGCUUAUUGGAAGCAGCAUCCCUGUGAGCAGGAGAGCAGCUGCUCU
This 403-nucleotide long non-coding RNA is filed under the name Serinus canaria (Common canary). RNAcentral's name for it is "lncRNA (ENSSCAG00000008007.1)". The record is from RNAcentral. Lineage: Eukaryota; Metazoa; Chordata; Aves; Passeriformes; Fringillidae.